Molecule: small nuclear RNA, 114 nt
Organism: Astyanax mexicanus (Mexican tetra)
Lineage: Eukaryota; Metazoa; Chordata; Actinopteri; Characiformes; Acestrorhamphidae
Product: U5 spliceosomal RNA
Exons: 1
Source: RefSeq, a predicted model, not a curated record
AGCUCUGUUUUUUGUAUCAUUCACGUAUAAAUAUUUUACCUUUUACUAAAGAUUUCUGUGGAGUGAAAUGUUGUUGAGAUUUUAUAUUUUUUGAAGGAUUUGCUUCACAAUUCU